AUUGAACGCUGGCGGCAGGCCUAACACAUGCAAGUCGAACGGUAACAGGAAACAGCUUGCUGUUUCGCUGACGAGUGGCGGACGGGUGAGUAAUGUCUGGGAAACUGCCUGAUGGAGGGGGAUAACUACUGGAAACGGUAGCUAAUACCGCAUAACGUCGCAAGACCAAAGAGGGGGACCCUCGGGCCUCUUGCCAUCGGAUGUGCCCAGAUGGGAUUAGCUUGUUGGUGGGGUAACGGCUCACCAAGGCGACGAUCCCUAGCUGGUCUGAGAGGAUGACCAGCCACACUGGAACUGAGACACGGUCCAGACUCCUACGGGAGGCAGCAGUGGGGAAUAUUGCACAAUGGGCGCAAGCCUGAUGCAGCCAUGCCGCGUGUAUGAAGAAGGCCUUCGGGUUGUAAAGUACUUUCAGCGGGAGGAAGGGAGUAAAGUUAAUACCUUUGCUCAUUGACGUUACCCGCAGAAGAAGCACCGGCUAACUCCGUG
Molecule: ribosomal RNA, 489 nt
Filed under: uncultured bacterium
Lineage: Bacteria
Description: partial 16S ribosomal RNA
Rfam family: Bacterial small subunit ribosomal RNA
Source: RNAcentral